GGACCCUCCGAGCCAGGUGCCGGAUAUAAUCUCGUGGUGCGCCGUUUUUUUAAGCCCGCCGGAAAAGCGCAGUAUUCGGGUGGGAGUGACCCGAUUUUCCAGGUGCCGUCCGUCACCCCUUUCUUUGACUCGGAAAGGGAACUCCCUGACCCCUUGCGCUUUCUGAGUGAGGCAGUGCCUCGCCCUGCUUCGGCUCGCACACGGUGCGCGCACCCACUGACCUGCGCCCACUGUCUGGCACUCCCUAGUGAGAUGAACCCGGUACCUCAGAUGGAAAUGCAGAAAUCACCCGUCUUCUGCGUCGCUCACGGUGGGAGCUGUAGACUGGAGCUGUUCCUAUUCGGCCAUCUUGGCUCCUCCGCAUUUGUUUUUAUGGUGGUUUUGUAUUGUUUUUAUAGAGCUGCCCUCACAUGCUUCAGCAACAUUAGAUGUUCUGGAGACUGGAAAGUCCAAGAUCAUGGUGCCUGAGGAUUCAGUGUCUGAUAUAUUGCUGCCUGUAACCAGACAAAAAGCCCUGAUGCCUUUCUGGAUAGGUGAUGAGAAAAUAGCAUGAGAACAACGUAAAUUUAAAUUUGAAAUAUAUUCUCGCAAUGUAACUCUACCUAGUAAAUUUUUGAAUUUACUCAAAUAA
This 631-nucleotide long non-coding RNA is filed under the name Homo sapiens (human). RNAcentral describes it as "HSALNT0209973". Lineage: Eukaryota; Metazoa; Chordata; Mammalia; Primates; Hominidae. The record is from RNAcentral.